RNAcentral lists this ribosomal RNA (454 nucleotides) under uncultured bacterium. RNAcentral's name for it is "bacterial SSU rRNA". It matches the Rfam family "Bacterial small subunit ribosomal RNA", at positions 32 to 490 of the family's 1533-position model. The record is from RNAcentral.
AAUCAACGCUGGCGGCGUGCCUAACACAUGCAAGUCGAGCGAGAAAGGGGCUUCGGCCCUGAGUAAAGCGGCGCACGGGUGAGUAACACGUGGGUAAUCUGCCCUAGAGUGGGGAAUAACAUCGGGAAACCGAUGCUAAUACCGCAUACGAUCAUGGAGUCUUCGGAUUUUGUGAUGAAAGGAAAGGAGCAAUCCAAUCCGCUCUUGGAGGAGCCCGCGGCUGAUAGCUAGUUGGUAAGGUAAUGGCUUACCAAGGCAACGAUCAGUAUCCGGUCUGAGAGGACGGUCGGACACACUGGAACUGAGACACGGUCCAGACUCCUACGGGAGGCAGCAGUGGGGAAUUUUGCGCAAUGGGGAAACCCUGACGCAGCAACGCCGCGUGGAGGAUGAAAUCCCUUGGGAUGUAAACUCCUUUCGAUCGGGAAGAUAAUGACGGUACCGAGAGAAGAAG